UGAGGAAUAUUGGUCAAGGGGCGAGAGCCUGAACCAGCCAAGUAGCGUGCAGGAUGACGGCCCUAUGGGUUGUAAACUGCUUUUAGAUGGGAAUAAAGUGAGGGACGUGUCCCUUAUUGCAUGUACCAUACGAAUAAGGACCGGCUAAUUCCGUGCCAGCAGCCGCGGUAAUACGGAAGGUCCAGGCGUUAUCCGGAUUUAUUGGGUUUAAAGGGAGCGUAGGCUGUUUGUUAAGCGUGUUGUGAAAUGUAAGAGCUCAACUUUUAGAUUGCAGCGCGAACUGGCAGACUUGAGUGCGCACAACGUAGGCGGAAUUCAUGGUGUAGCGGUGAAAUGCUUAGAUAUCAUGACGAACUCCGAUUGCGAAGGCAGCUUACGGGAGCGCAACUGACGCUAAAGCUCGAAGGUGCGGGUAUCGAACAGG
This 424-nucleotide ribosomal RNA is filed under the name Verrucomicrobiota bacterium. Its description in RNAcentral is "Verrucomicrobia bacterium partial 16S ribosomal RNA". It matches the Rfam family "Bacterial small subunit ribosomal RNA", at positions 355 to 776 of the family's 1533-position model. Lineage: Bacteria; Pseudomonadati; Verrucomicrobiota. The record is from RNAcentral.